Non-coding RNA from Dothidotthia symphoricarpi CBS 119687, 81 nucleotides. Lineage: Eukaryota; Fungi; Ascomycota; Dothideomycetes; Pleosporales; Dothidotthiaceae. The record is from the annotation of a RefSeq genome assembly.
GGUCAGAUGGCCGAGUGGUUAAGGCGCUAGCUUCAGGUGCUAGUGGAGUCAUCCUCGUGGGUUCGAGUCCCACUCUGAUCA